This is a long non-coding RNA of Prionailurus viverrinus (fishing cat), 557 nucleotides long. RefSeq lists it as uncharacterized. The record is from RefSeq and is a predicted model, not a curated record. The transcript has 4 exons. NCBI's taxonomy places the organism in Eukaryota, Metazoa, Chordata, Mammalia, Carnivora, Felidae.
UCCAGAGUCACAUACUCCCAUCAACUGAGCCUGCCAGAAACCACAACAAAGGGUCUCAGCCAAGUUUCCCCUUCCCCACCUGCCUUCUGGUGCUUCCCAGUGUGCCCCUGUAUGGCACGUCCCCUCCUCUUGGGAACUGAUGAAAAAGUUCUGGAGAUGGAUGGUGUUGAUGGCCACACAACAACGUGGAUGUACUGAAUGCCACCGAAGUUCAACUUGUUGUUGACUGGUGGUUUUCAUCUUUCACAAGUGGCCUGCUGUCAGUGCUCCUAGAACAACCAGAAACACAAGUGCUUCCUGGUCCCCCUGGCACCUCAAACGUCAUUGCCCUGUUUUUGAGAAGUCGCUAGUCUUGGACGUCAGGUGUCUCAGUCAGAUUUCCUAGUGACAAGAAAUAGAAACCAAAUCCAGCUCACGAUGUGGAAAAGUUUUGUUGUGUUUGUUUUUGGAAACGUAUCAGGCAGCCCACAGAGUCGUCGCAAAGGCUGGGAAGGCAGUGCAGGGAUUCACGAUGAGGAGAUAAGCAAAACGCAAGGGCAAACAGCAGCAGAGAACCA